AUGGUGUGCCGGGGUGGCGGCCCCGGUCAAGGUGGGCAGCGCUGCUCCCUGCAACGGACGACGGCUGCGGGUGCUCGGCUGGGCUCCUCGGCUUGCUUGGGCGGCGAGGCCCCGGUGGAUGGAGCUCGCGGUGGCCGGAUUUCCUCCGUCGGUCCGCCUCCAGAUCUGAUUCGACCAGCUCCAACUCCACCCUCCUCGCCUUCUCCCGUUCGAUCUCAGCUCCGGUGCGACUCUGCUCGCCGGAUCCGGCGGUUGGCGGUGUUUUGGCGGUGGGGCUCCUGGGACCGGGGGAAACCCUUGGCCGCCGCCGGCGGCCACAACGACGACGAUGCCGCGGCGUCGAACUACUUCUUGGAGGCUUCGUUGAGGUAUCCCACCCCCCACCAAUCUGCCCCUGCAUCUAGGUGA
This 408-nucleotide ribosomal RNA is filed under the name Triticum aestivum (bread wheat). RNAcentral's name for it is "partial small subunit ribosomal RNA". Lineage: Eukaryota; Viridiplantae; Streptophyta; Magnoliopsida; Poales; Poaceae. The record is from RNAcentral.